Molecule: transfer RNA, 90 nt
Filed under: uncultured bacterium
Lineage: Bacteria
Description: tRNA-Ser
Rfam family: tRNA
About the family: Transfer RNA (tRNA) molecules are approximately 80 nucleotides in length. Their secondary structure includes four short double-helical elements and three loops (D, anti-codon, and T loops). Further hydrogen bonds mediate the characteristic L-shaped molecular structure. tRNAs have two regions of fundamental functional importance: the anti-codon, which is responsible for specific mRNA codon recognition, and the 3' end, to which the tRNAs corresponding amino acid is attached (by aminoacyl-tRNA synthetases). tRNAs cope with the degeneracy of the genetic code in two manners: having more than one tRNA (with a specific anti-codon) for a particular amino acid; and 'wobble' base-pairing, i.e. permitting non-standard base-pairing at the 3rd anti-codon position.
Source: RNAcentral
GGAGAGGUGGCGGAGCCUGGCUUAUCGCACCCGUCUUGAAAACGGGAGGACGGCAACGUCCCGUGGGUUCAAAUCCCACUCUCUCCGCCA